RNAcentral lists this ribosomal RNA (497 nucleotides) under uncultured bacterium. Its description in RNAcentral is "partial 16S ribosomal RNA". It matches the Rfam family "Bacterial small subunit ribosomal RNA", at positions 28 to 507 of the family's 1533-position model. The record is from RNAcentral.
GAUGAACGCUGGCGGCGUGCCUAAUACAUGCAAGUCGAGCGAACAGACGAGGAGCUUGCUCCUCUGACGUUAGCGGCGGACGGGUGAGUAACACGUGGAUAACCUACCUAUAAGGCUGGGAUAACUUCGGGAAACCGGAGCUAAUACCGGAUAAUAUAUUGAACCGCAUGGUUCAAUAGUGAAAGACGGUUUUGCUGUCACUUAUAGAUGGAUCCGCGCCGCAUUAGCUAGUUGGUAAGGUAACGGCUUACCAAGGCAACGAUGCGUAGCCGACCUGAGAGGGUGAUCGGCCACACUGGAACUGAGACACGGUCCAGACUCCUACGGGAGGCAGCAGUAGGGAAUCUUCCGCAAUGGGCGAAAGCCUGACGGAGCAACGCCGCGUGAGUGAUGAAGGUCUUCGGAUCGUAAAACUCUGUUAUUAGGGAAGAACAAAUGUGUAAGUAACUAUGCACGUCUUGACGGUACCCAAACAGAAAGCCACGGCUAACUACGUG